RNAcentral lists this ribosomal RNA (301 nucleotides) under uncultured bacterium. RNAcentral's name for it is "partial 16S ribosomal RNA". It matches the Rfam family "Bacterial small subunit ribosomal RNA", at positions 509 to 807 of the family's 1533-position model. The record is from RNAcentral.
CAGCAGCCGCGGGAAAACGAAGGGGGCUAGCGUUGUUCGGAAUUACUGGGCGUAAAGCGCACGUAGGCUGACAUUUAAGUCAGGGGUGAAAUCCCGGGGCUCAACCUCGGAACUGCCUUUGAUACUGGGUGUCUUGAGUGUGGAAGAGGUAAGUGGAAUUGCGAGUGUAGAGGUGAAAUUCGUAGAUAUUCGCAGGAACACCAGUGGCGAAGGCGGCUUACUGGUCCACAACUGACGCUGAGGUGCGAAAGCGUGGGGAGCAAACAGGAUUAGAUACCCCAGUAGUCCCUGUCUCUUAUAC